ACCCGCUGAACUUAAGCAUAUCAAUAAGCGGAGGAAAAGAAACCAACAGGGAUUGCCUCAGUAACGGCGAGUGAAGCGGCAAGAGCUCAAAUUUAAAAGCCGACGUAGCUUUAAGAGACGUCCGCAUUGUAAUUUGAAGAGGCAUUCUCGGGUCGGGGCUCAGGCCUAAGUUCCUUGGAAGAGGGCGUCGUGGAGGGUGAGAACCCCGUUCGCGGCCUGCUGUCGACCUUUCCCCGAUCCACACGAGGUGCCAUCGAAGAGUCGAGUUGUUUGGGAAUGCAGCUCAAAGCGGGUGGUAAAUUCCAUCUAAAGCUAAAUAUUGACGGGAGACCGAUAGCGAACAAGUAGAGUGAUCGAAAGAUGAAAAGCACUUUGGAAAGAGAGUUAAACAGCACGUGAAAUUGUUGAAAGGGAAGCGCUUGAGACCAGUCACGGACCGAGGCGAUCAGUGGGACGUCCCUCUCGGGGGAGGAACCGCGCACUCGCUUUUCGGGUUUUCCGGGUCAACAUCGGUUGGGACGGUGUCAGAAAGGUCGCGGGAACGUGGCUCCCUUCACGGGGAGUGUUAUAGCCCGUGGCGUCAAAGUCGCCAGUUUCGACCGAGGACCGCGCUCGUCUUUUUCAAGCAAGGAUGUUGACGUAAUGGUCCC
Molecule: ribosomal RNA, 650 nt
Filed under: uncultured fungus
Lineage: Eukaryota; Fungi
Description: eukaryotic LSU rRNA
Rfam family: Eukaryotic large subunit ribosomal RNA
Source: RNAcentral